AUGGUUAGCAUCAACUCCGGGACAGGACCCUUGCCUUUUCGCCGAAAUUGGAUCACUUUCGACACAUUACCGAGCCUGGAGCCGUUUUAUUGUCUACUUGAGAAUGAAGAGACACUGGAUGGCAAGAAUACAACACAUUGCAUGGCAAUAGUUGUAUACAGAAGAGGUGAUGAUGCUACAGUACGUAACCCCAUCAAACGAGUUCCAGAGAGAUCUCUCACUGCUCUGAACAGCUGUGAUUUGGAUAAUGAAGAAGUUCAGAGGUACAUUAAGCCACCUAGGCGACCUGAACCACCAGCAGUUCCACAGCAAGUCAUAAAAUCAGACAGCACAAAAUCACAAACAGCAGAGGGCCAAGACUUACUUUGGAAGGUGAGUCGAGUCAUGAAAGAAGAAAAACAGAGAAUCCCAGGAUGGUCUGCAUUCAAUGCUUUCAUAUCCACAUCAAGCACUCCAUUAACCACAGUAUAAUAUAUACCCUUCAUAAGAGCUUCACCGUCAGACCUAUCUACUAUCUACACAGCUCUUCUGAAACUCACACAGCUAGCUGAAGAACUUGGACAGAGGCAUAUUCUCGUAACUGCUGAUCUUGCCAUCUAUAGCAGGGAUUCCCAAAGUGUGGUGCGCGAGAUGAAAAAUGUAAUGGUGGUCUGGUGUAAAAAUAUUACACAGUGUCUGUGCGUUCAGACCGAAAGCGCACAAAGAGGAAAAUCCACCUUGUCCACUCCACCUAAGUCGCUUAGUCACCCUGUUUGUUCUUGCUUCUAAAUUUAAAGGGCCCGCACGCCACUCGCGUUAAACACCACCACGCAACUACUGCUGUCCAUCCAUUUACAGCCCAUCCAUUUACCGACAUCGUUGAUCACAGAAAAUUACUCGUUGAACAGUAACUUGAUGUAGCCGGGUGCGAAAAUGAGGCUGUAAACAUUUACGCCACCAGGUGACACUGUUUUAGUUUGGGAAACCUCCUGUGCGCGCUGUCUCCUGGGAAACGAUCAGGAAGAGAACCCGGAAAUGAGAUCAACAUCGUUUCACCGCGACGCACGCUGAAAUGUGAUUUCGGACAUUUUGGACUGUUUCUGUAAGGUAAAUGUUCUGUAAAAAGCAUGGAGUAGCAUGAAAUAUCAAUGGAUAGACUGUUAAAAUGAUUCAUGACCGUGUUUUGUGACUUGUUACGAUGUUUAUGUAUUUGUUUGGUAUGUGAUGAAUUUCCAGAUCUGACUCCCUGCUGGACGUAAUGGCGUAGAGCCCGUCGCCGCUUUUGUUGUGUAUUUGUGGACGGAUUCACAUGUUAGUACAGUAUUUUCACGGUAUUUUCACGCAUGUAUUGUAAUAUUUUUAUGACCUUUGAAUGUGAAAGGGUUUAUUGUGAAUUUGUGGCUAUUUGUGUUACAGCGAUG
Molecule: long non-coding RNA, 1400 nt
Filed under: Sparus aurata (gilthead seabream)
Lineage: Eukaryota; Metazoa; Chordata; Actinopteri; Spariformes; Sparidae
Description: lncRNA (ENSSAUG00010002262.1)
Source: RNAcentral